AGCUGCACCUGUCCGAAAGGCCUCUCCACCCUGUCCGCUCUGCUCGCACGGGCGCUGCGGAGGAUGCCUCCCACAUUUCAACCCUUCUUUGGGUUUACUCAGACCUGCAAAACCCCACACGCGGCCAGAAGGAGGAGGGAGCCGUGUCUCAGUGGUGCGACAGAGAGGAUGGGGGCAGGAGUCACAUCCAGUGUCCCAGGAACGGAAGGAAGGAGACCCCCGAGCCCCUCCCCGCCAGUGAACUUCAUAUUCUCCCCCUCUACCCCUGAGGCCCCAAUUCAAGGGCUGACCCAGAGGAUGAUGCCUUGCCAAGGCCCUGCCGCCUCCCAGUCCACCUUGGAGAGUCACCAUCUCCCAGAGGCCGCUGAAGAGGUUCUAUUUAUACCACUGAUAUAUGGGGAUAUGCCUUUCAAAUUUUCUAGAAGGAUUUGGAUCUACUUAUGCACCCUUCAUUAGGUUCCUAACCUGGACCCUGAUGCUGUCCCCGCAUACAAGCUACAAAAAGAAGAAGACAAGGCUGCUAGUGUCUUUCCUCUGGUUAUUAAUGUAAUGAGCUCCAUUAACCUCUCCUUGACAA
Long non-coding RNA from Lutra lutra (Eurasian river otter), 577 nucleotides. RefSeq lists it as uncharacterized. NCBI's taxonomy places the organism in Eukaryota, Metazoa, Chordata, Mammalia, Carnivora, Mustelidae. The transcript has 3 exons. The record is from RefSeq and is a predicted model, not a curated record.